RNAcentral lists this long non-coding RNA (231 nucleotides) under Ananas comosus (pineapple). RNAcentral describes it as "long non-coding RNA (ACOM_LNC031457)". Lineage: Eukaryota; Viridiplantae; Streptophyta; Magnoliopsida; Poales; Bromeliaceae. The record is from RNAcentral.
GUUUUUGCUCCGGACGGAGUGCAUUCGUGGAUUCGAGUGGGCGUCGUGGAUUCGACGUGAUCAAGACUUCGUGGAUUCGAAGUGGUGGCGUUUCGUGGAUUCGGGAUGAGGCAUUCGUGGAUUCGAACGUGAGGGCGUGGACAACCCGAAGGAUUGUGCGAGAUUCAUAGGAGGUUAAGAGAGGUCGAGUCCGUGGAGUCGGUAAUCACCUUGUAAUCUUUUCUCUUUGUG